UCUAGUUGCAGCGAUAGUGCUGGAUGA
RNAcentral lists this small RNA (27 nucleotides) under Bombyx mori (domestic silkworm). Its description in RNAcentral is "ovarian small RNA-29502". Lineage: Eukaryota; Metazoa; Arthropoda; Insecta; Lepidoptera; Bombycidae. The record is from RNAcentral.